Molecule: non-coding RNA, 30 nt
Filed under: Rattus norvegicus (Norway rat)
Lineage: Eukaryota; Metazoa; Chordata; Mammalia; Rodentia; Muridae
Source: RNAcentral
UCCUCUACAGCCCAACAGGAAUGCAUCAUC